Molecule: ribosomal RNA, 444 nt
Filed under: Triticum aestivum (bread wheat)
Lineage: Eukaryota; Viridiplantae; Streptophyta; Magnoliopsida; Poales; Poaceae
Description: partial small subunit ribosomal RNA
Source: RNAcentral
AUGGCAUGCCACGGCAUCCUUGGCGCAACGAGAAGGUGGGUGCGCCAACCACAGGGCCCUAGGCUACGGCUCUGGCAUGAUCAUCGCGAGACCAAUGGCGCCCACGCGAGCCCAGAGUCUUGCCUCCUCUCGAAUCUCAUUGACGGCGCGGCUGACAGAGGGGUGGUGGCCGUCGAAGAUGCAUCCGUUCCGAUGCUUCCAGAGCCACCAGGCUGUGAGGAUGGCAAUGGAGGCGAGCCCACGGCGAAGGCAGCGCGGGGUGGCGGCAAGGGCGGAGUGAAGCCAGGUGGGGAAGUCGUCGUCUUGUCCCGGUGGCGCGGCCGUGGAGCGGCACCAAGAGAGGAUAUCAUGCCAAACUUGGCGGGAGAAGGAGCAGCCGGAGAGGAGGUGCUGCAUUGUCUCCGGUUCCUGGUCACACAGGAUGCAAGUGGGCUCGUGAGGUAA